This 263-nucleotide ribosomal RNA is filed under the name uncultured prokaryote. RNAcentral's name for it is "partial 16S ribosomal RNA". It matches the Rfam family "Bacterial small subunit ribosomal RNA", at positions 524 to 786 of the family's 1533-position model. The record is from RNAcentral.
UACGUAGGUGGCAAGCGUUAUCCGGAAUUACUGGGCGUAAAGAGCGCGCAGGUGGUUGAUUAAGUCUGAUGUGAAAGCCCACGGCUUAACCGUGGAGGGUCAUUGGAAACUGGUCGACUUGAGUGCAGAAGAGGGAAGUGGAAUUCCAUGUGUAGCGGUGAAAUGCGUAGAGAUAUGGAGGAACACCAGUGGCGAAGGCGGCUUCCUGGUCUGUAACUGACACUGAGGCGCGAAAGCGUGGGGAGCAAACAGGAUUAGAUACU